RNAcentral lists this ribosomal RNA (460 nucleotides) under uncultured Methylomirabilota bacterium. RNAcentral describes it as "bacterial SSU rRNA". It matches the Rfam family "Bacterial small subunit ribosomal RNA", at positions 977 to 1434 of the family's 1533-position model. Lineage: Bacteria; Methylomirabilota (SeqCode). The record is from RNAcentral.
GGGCUUGACAUCCCACGAACCUGCCCGAAAGGGUCGGGUGCCCGCAAGGGAGCGUGGAGACAGGUGGUGCAUGGCUGUCGUCAGCUCGUGUCGUGAGAUGUUGGGUUAAGUCCCGCAACGAGCGCAACCCUCACCCCUUGUUGCCACCGGGUCAUGCCGAGCACUCUAGGGGAACUGCCAGCGUCAAGCUGGAGGAAGGCGGGGAUGACGUCAAGUCAUCAUGCCCCUUACGCCCUGGGCAACACACGUGCUACAAUGGCUGGUACAAAGGGAUGCAAGACCGCGAGGUGGAGCUAAUCCCAAAAAACCAGUCUAAGUUCAGAUUGCAGUCUGCAACUCGACUCCGUGAAGGAGGAAUCGCUAGUAAUCGCGCAUCAGCACGACGCGGUGAAUACGUUCCCGGGCCUUGUACACACCGCCCGUCACACCACGAAAGCCGGCUGUACUCGAAGUCGCUGAG